GCAAGAUACAGGUUCACAAUGCUCAGUUUUGAAUGUUGGGUACCAAGCUGAAGAAGCAGUGCAGUACGUUCACCAUGCACCAAGUGAAAGUUGAUUCCUGCAGUAGCAGUUGCAUAAAGUGACAACAUUUACUACUGUUGUGAAGAGCUGCAGUUCUGUAUGUGAAGCAUCUUGAUCUGAAAAAUAGUCCUGUACAUCCCUGACAAUAAAUUUUAAGGUAUCGAACUUCGCA
RNAcentral lists this long non-coding RNA (232 nucleotides) under Zonotrichia albicollis (white-throated sparrow). RNAcentral describes it as "lncRNA (ENSZALG00000002260.1)". The record is from RNAcentral. Lineage: Eukaryota; Metazoa; Chordata; Aves; Passeriformes; Passerellidae.